This 637-nucleotide long non-coding RNA is filed under the name Anser cygnoides (Swan goose). RNAcentral's name for it is "lncRNA (ENSACDG00005013181.1)". Lineage: Eukaryota; Metazoa; Chordata; Aves; Anseriformes; Anatidae. The record is from RNAcentral.
AGUCAAGUAUCAUUAAAAUUUCUGUUUUCUUUCAGACUUCCUCUUUGGGAAAAAGCUCUGGGUGAAUAUUUAGAAACCAAGCACAUAGCGUUUCCUCACUUCUAUUUUGUUUCUUCAACAGACUUGCUAGCUAUUCUUCCAAUAGGAACACAGCUGGAACAGGACCACUGUGACUGGGGACUUCAUGCUAUCAAGUCAGUUCUGGUAACUGCUGGCUUACUGAAAUGGAGAAACAAGAACAGACCUGAGGAUCAGGUUCUGACCCUUACAAGCAAAGAACGUGUGCUGGUGACUCCAUCAAUGUAGCUACUGUUUGAGGUGCACCAUUUAAAAGCUGCAGCCACAGCUACAGGAUCCAGAGCUGGCCUCCUCUGUCUGAACACACAGGACCUGAGCUGGAAUCCAUGAGUAUCUGAUGACAUUAGUUAACAUUUUUAAGAUACAUCCUGAAGAUUAAUAGGAGUAGACAUUAUUAUUUUACUAUGAUAAUAGGGGGAUGAAUUAGUUGAAGGGUUAUGUAAAUUGUUAAAUACAGUUUGGAAGAUUUCAGCAUAAGUUAAGUGUUUUAUUUUUCCCUCUUAUCCAGAGUGCUCAAUAAGUAAAUAAAUUGGCUAGUGUUUCCUGUCCCUUUUAAUAA